Non-coding RNA from Trichonephila inaurata madagascariensis, 73 nucleotides. NCBI's taxonomy places the organism in Eukaryota, Metazoa, Arthropoda, Arachnida, Araneae, Nephilidae. The record is from the annotation of a GenBank genome assembly.
GCCCAGCCAGUAUGGGGGUUAUGACCCUCGGCUUAUAACCGAGUAGGUUCGGGAUCGAAUCCCGAGUAAGACA